CGCUCGACAUCAGGAGUUUGAUCCUGGCUCAGGAUGAACGCUGGCGGCGUGCCUAACACAUGCAAGUCGAACGGAGAGUAUUUACGGAAGUUUUCGGAUGGAAGCAGAUAUUUCUUAGUGGCGGACGGGUGAGUAACACGUGGGUAACCUGCCCUAUACAGGGGGAUAGCAGUUGGAAACGACUGGUAAGACCGCAUAAGUCGUCUUUGUUGCAUGACAGAGACGGGAAAUGAGCAAUCAGGUAUAGGAUGGGCCCGCGUCCGAUUAGCCAGUUGGCAGGGUAAGAGCCUACCAAAGCAACGAUCGGUAGCCGGACUGAGAGGUCGGACGGCCACAUUGGGACUGAGACACGGCCCAA
This 358-nucleotide ribosomal RNA is filed under the name uncultured bacterium. RNAcentral's name for it is "bacterial SSU rRNA". It matches the Rfam family "Bacterial small subunit ribosomal RNA", at positions 1 to 334 of the family's 1533-position model. The record is from RNAcentral.